UUUAAACACCGGUUUCCGUACGAUCGUUGAAGUUAAGCAACGUCGAGCCUGGUCCGUACCUAGAUGGGUGAGCGCUUAGGAAUACCGGGUGCUGUAAG
This is a non-coding RNA of Acanthosepion pharaonis, 98 nucleotides long. The record is from the annotation of a GenBank genome assembly. Lineage: Eukaryota; Metazoa; Mollusca; Cephalopoda; Sepiida; Sepiidae.